GAUCAUAUAGUAGUUUAAUUUAAGAAUAAUAAUUUGUGGUAUUAUAGGUGAAUUAUGUAUUUCCUUUGAUCC
RNAcentral lists this transfer RNA (72 nucleotides) under Eumenotes sp. HEM140. Its description in RNAcentral is "tRNA-His". Lineage: Eukaryota; Metazoa; Arthropoda; Insecta; Hemiptera; Dinidoridae. The record is from RNAcentral.